CGGAGGGGCUGGCGUUGUUCGGAAUUACUGGGCGUAAAGCGCACGUAGGCGGACUGGAAAGUCAGAGGUGAAAUCCCAGGGCUCAACCUUGGAACUGCCUUUGAAACUAUCAGUCUGGAGUUCGAGAGAGGUGAGUGGAAUUCCGAGUGUAGAGGUGAAAUUCGUAGAUAUUCGGAGGAACACCAGUGGCGAAGGCGGCUCACUGGCUCGAUACUGACGCUGAGGUGCGAAAGCGUGGGGAGCAAACAGGAUU
Molecule: ribosomal RNA, 253 nt
Filed under: uncultured bacterium
Lineage: Bacteria
Description: partial 16S ribosomal RNA
Rfam family: Bacterial small subunit ribosomal RNA
Source: RNAcentral